GUGUUCUCUUUAGCAGCCCAUAUACUAAAAUUGGAACAAUACAAAGAUGAGCGUGGCCUCUGCACAAGGAUGACACACAAAUUCGUGAAGCGUUUAAUAUAUAU
This is a small nuclear RNA of Suricata suricatta (meerkat), 104 nucleotides long. Lineage: Eukaryota; Metazoa; Chordata; Mammalia; Carnivora; Herpestidae. The record is from Ensembl.